GAUGAACGCUGGCGGCGUGCCUAAUACAUGCAAGUCGAGCGAACAGACGAGGAGCUUGCUCCUCUGACGUUAGCGGCGGACGGGUGAGUAACACGUGGAUAACCUACCUAUAAGACUGGGAUAACUUCGGGAAACCGGAGCUAAUACCGGAUAAUAUAUUGAACCGCAGGGUUCAAUAGUGAAAGACGGUUUUGCUGUCACUUAUAGAUGGAUCCGCGCCGCAUUAGCUAGUUGGUAAGGUAACGGCUUACCAAGGCAACGAUGCGUAGCCGACCUGAGAGGGUGAUCGACCCCCCUGGAACUGAGACUAGGCCCAGACUCCUACGGCAGGCAGCAGUAGGGAACCUUCCGCAAUGGGCGAAAGCCUGACGGAGCAACGCCGCAUGAGUGAUGAAGGUCUUCGGAUCGUAAAACUCUGUUAUUAGGGAAGAACAAAUGUGUAAGUAACUAUGCACGUCUUGACGGUACCUAAUCAGAAAGCCACGGCUAACUACGUG
RNAcentral lists this ribosomal RNA (497 nucleotides) under uncultured bacterium. RNAcentral describes it as "partial 16S ribosomal RNA". It matches the Rfam family "Bacterial small subunit ribosomal RNA", at positions 28 to 507 of the family's 1533-position model. The record is from RNAcentral.